UACGUAGGGGGCAAGCGUUGUCCGGAUUUAUUGGGCGUAAAGAGCGUGUAGGCGGCCAGGUAGGUCCGCUGUGAAAACUCGAGGCUCAACCUCGAGAUGUCGGCGGAAACCAUCUGGCUAGAGUCCGGAAGAGGAGAGUGGAAUUCCUGGUGUAGCGGUGAAAUGCGCAGAUAUCAGGAGGAACACCAAUGGCGAAGGCAGCUCGCUGGGACGGUACUGACACUGAGACGCGAAAGCGUGGGGAGCAAACAGG
This 253-nucleotide ribosomal RNA is filed under the name uncultured bacterium. RNAcentral describes it as "partial 16S ribosomal RNA". It matches the Rfam family "Bacterial small subunit ribosomal RNA", at positions 524 to 776 of the family's 1533-position model. The record is from RNAcentral.